CGUCCAUUGCUCACUGUGAAGUCAAUUUACAAUUCUAAAUUUUCCUACUUGACCUUUUCCGACCUUAUACAUGGGUAAUGAGAUCACAGCCGUGUAUGUCUCAAAUAGCAUCCUUCUAUGACCUUAUACGGAAAUGUAUUUGCGCAUAAAACACUAAACAUUCUCUUGACGCCCUGUUUGGCCUCACUCGCGAAGGACAAACUUCUCAAAACAUCUGUACUUUGCUUUCGUGCUCUCUAGAAAUGGCUGGGUUGGUCAAACCGAAGAAAUACGAUUGGAAGGACUCCAACUUGGCGUUGUUCGGCUCAGAUCUCGAGAAAAAGGUAUGAA
Molecule: non-coding RNA, 330 nt
Organism: Paramuricea clavata
Lineage: Eukaryota; Metazoa; Cnidaria; Anthozoa; Malacalcyonacea; Plexauridae
Source: the annotation of a GenBank genome assembly